AGAGUUUGAUCCUGGCUCAGAACGAACGCUGGCGGCAUGCCUAACACAUGCAAGUCGAACGCUUUGCCGGUUUCGGCCGGCAGGGAGUGGCGCACGGGUGAGUAGCGCGUGGGAACCUGCCCUGUUGUGGGGGAUAACCGAGGGAAACUUCGGCUAACACCGCAUACGCCGGUUGUCUUGAACGAGAUGGCCGGGAAAGA
This 200-nucleotide ribosomal RNA is filed under the name uncultured bacterium. RNAcentral's name for it is "partial 16S ribosomal RNA". It matches the Rfam family "Bacterial small subunit ribosomal RNA", at positions 8 to 207 of the family's 1533-position model. The record is from RNAcentral.